GACCUGUCACAACGGCUUCCUGGCGUGGCAGCGUUAUCCAAUGGAGCA
RNAcentral lists this non-coding RNA (48 nucleotides) under Roseivivax isoporae. RNAcentral's name for it is "SAM-SAH sequence". It matches the Rfam family "SAM/SAH riboswitch aptamer". RNAcentral also lists the same sequence under 1 other name. Lineage: Bacteria; Pseudomonadati; Pseudomonadota; Alphaproteobacteria; Rhodobacterales; Roseobacteraceae. The record is from RNAcentral.